This 427-nucleotide ribosomal RNA is filed under the name uncultured bacterium. RNAcentral's name for it is "bacterial SSU rRNA". It matches the Rfam family "Bacterial small subunit ribosomal RNA", at positions 355 to 774 of the family's 1533-position model. The record is from RNAcentral.
UGAGGAAUUUUGCGCAAUGGGGGAAACCCUGACGCAGCAACGCCGCGUGAGUGAAGAAGGCUUUCGGGUCGUAAAGCUCUGUCAAGUGGGAAAAACGCCUUCUCGUGAACAGCGGGGAGGUCUGAUGGUACCACUGGAGGAAGCACCGGCUAACUCCGUGCCAGCAGCCGCGGUAAUACGGAGGGUGCAAGCGUUGUUCGGAAUUACUGGGCGUAAAGAGCGUGUAGGCGGUGGGGUAAGUCAGAUGUGAAAGCCCUGGGCUUAACCCAGGAAGUGCAUUUGAAACUGCCUCACUAGAGUAUGGGAGAGGAGAGUGGAAUUCCCGGUGUAGAGGUGAAAUUCGUAGAUAUCGGGAGGAACACCCGUGGCGAAGGCGACUCUCUGGACCAAUACUGACGCUGAGACGCGAAAGCGUGGGGAGCAAACA